AUUUGACAGACGUUAUCUAUCUCCAGUAAUAUUCAAAAAUACGCUCGUUUAUUAUACGUCAAAAACACGUCAUCGCCAAGACAUUUGUACUGGAAAUGAGUUUUCACUACGGACAGGGUUACCCCACGCAAGGGCAUAACUACCCCGGUCAUCACCCCCCUCCAGGGGGGCAGGUACCCCCAGGUGCCCCGUACCGGGCUGGGAUGCCCCCUGGAGGUCAGGCGGGGCAGUACGGAGGCCCUACUGCCCCAGGCUACUCCCCAUACGGGGGGCAGUACCCGGCGGGGCAGGCUCCUGGCGCCCCCCAUGGCUCGUACCCGUCCUCUGGGUUAGGGGGCCAGUUUGGGGCCGGGAGGGGUGCUCCUGGGGCCCCGUAUGGAGGGCAGGUUCCUCCUGGAGGGAGUUUUGGGGGACAGGCCCCCGGGGGCCCCUACGGGGGGUACAGCCAGCCACAGGGGGGGCACUACGGCCAGCAGCCUCCGGCAGGGAACAUGCCCCCAGGAGUGAGCUCGGAGGCGUAUCAGUGGUUCCAGGCCGUGGACAUGGACCACAGCGGCAGCAUCAGCCUGAAGGAGCUGAAACAGGCCCUGCUCAACUCCAACAACCAGGCCUUCAACGACGAGACCUGCCUCAUGAUGCUCAACAUGUUCGAUAAGACCCGGUCCGGUCGUAUGGACGUGUUCGGGUUCUCUGCGCUCUGGGUCUUCCUGCAGCAGUGGAGAGGCAUGUUCCAGCAGUUCGACCGCGACCGCUCUGGGUCCAUCAACGGGAACGAGCUGCACCAAGCUCUGGCGCAGUUGGGGUACAGCCUGAGCCCUCAGUUUGCGGCGGGGCUGGUGGGCCGGUUCUCGGGGGGCCGGGGGCCCCAGGGCGGGCUGCAGCUGGACCGGUUCCUGCAGGUGUGCACGCAGCUCCAGAGCAUGACCCAGGCCUUCCGCCAGCGCGACACCGCCAUGACCGGCCACGCCCGCCUCAGCUACGAGGACUUCCUCUCCAGCGCCGUGCAACGCCUCAUGUGACCCUGCAGGCCCCGCCCCCCUGUUAGGACACGCCCCCGCAUGCUCACACACACACACUCACACAGAGACACAUGCUGAAACACACACACACUCACACACACACACAUACAGAGACACAUGCUGAAACACACACACACUCACACACACACACACACACAUGCACACACACACACACUCAUACAGAGACACAUGCUGAAACACACAUACACACACAUACACACACACACACACACACACACACACACGCACCUCCGUCAGCAUCAGGUACACAGCCACACACGGCCCGGUUCACACCCUCCCUCCUCAUAACCUCUGUGUUUUUACCUUCUUUACGGCGGUUCGUGCUUCAUUAAUGCCUAACUCGUGACCGGCCUCGCCCUCUUGUGUAGUGGACGUUAAUGCAGUGCUGAUGCACAGUGGGCUGACAGACCCAGGGCGGAGGGCAGCGGGCUGAGAGUCGGGAGCACGCGGUCACAGGCUACGCCCGCGGCUACGCUAGCAGGCACUGUGAACGGCGCUCACCAUGGCAACAGCCCCUUAUGUGUGUCCUGGUCCAUUAAUAAACUGCUAUUCUAAUGUUUGUUUAUGUGCCAAAUUACCUUCAGCUCAGAGCUAUACAAUUCUGAAUGCCCCAACGCUAUGAACCCGGAGCUAUACAAUUCUGAUGGUCCAAAUGCUUAUAGAGCUGUACAAUAAUGUACUGUAUGCGAAUGAGUCGUUUGUUGUUUCUACGUAUCCUUGUACCAUCUGUAUAUAUGCUUUCUUUUAUAAAUAAAGACGUUAGACUGAA
Conger conger (European conger) is the source of this 1809-nucleotide RNA transcript. It is a transcript of the gene named peflin-like, with no coding region annotated. The transcript has 6 exons. Lineage: Eukaryota; Metazoa; Chordata; Actinopteri; Anguilliformes; Congridae. The record is from RefSeq and is a predicted model, not a curated record.